GUUCAGCCCCCUUGGACUGGAACCCGCCCUGACUCUUACGGGAGGCAGCAGUGGGGAUAUUGCACAACGGGCGCAAGCCUGAUGCAACCAUGCCGCGUGUUGAAGAAGGCCUUAGGGUUGUAAAGUACUCUCAGCGGGGAGGAAGUGAUAAAGUUAAUACCUUUAUCAAUUGACGUUACCCGCAGAAGAAGCACCGGCUAACUCCGUGCCAGCAGCCGCGGUAAUACGGAGUGUGCAAGCGUUAAUCGGAAUUACUGGGCGUAAAGCGCACGCAGGCGGUCAAUUAAGUCAGAUGUGAAAGCCCCGAGCUUAACUUGGGAAUUGCAUCUGAAACUGGUUGGCUAGAGUCUUGUAGAGGGCGGUAGAAUUCCACGUGUAGCGGUGAAAUGCGUAGAGAUGUGGAGGAAUACCGGUGGCGAAGGCGGCCCCCUGGACAAAGACUGACGCUCAGGUGCGAAAGCGUGGGGAGCAAACAGGAUUAGAUACCCUGGUAGUCCACGCUGUAAACGAUGUCGAUUUAGAGGUUGUGGUCUUGAACUGUGGCUUCUGGAGCUAACGCGUUAAAUCGACCGCCUGGGGAGUACGGCCGCAAGGUUAAAACUCAAAUGAAUUGACGGGGGCCCGCACAAGCGGUGGAGCAUGUGGUUUAAUUCGAUGCAACGCGAAGAACCUUACCUACUCUUGACAUCCAGCGAAUCCUUUAGAGAUAGAGGAGUGCCUUCGGGAACGCUGAGACAGGUGCUGCAUGGCUGUCGUCAGCUCGUGUUGUGAAAUGUUGGGUUAAGUCCCGCAACGAGCGCAACCCUUAUCCUUUGUUGCCAGCGCGUAAUGGCGGGAACUCAAAGGAGACUGCCGGUGAUAAACCGGAGGAAGGUGGGGAUGACGUCAAGUCAUCAUGGCCCUUACGAGUAGGGCUACACACGUGCUACAAUGGCAGAUACAAAGAGAAGCGACCUCGCGAGAGCAAGCGGAACUCAUAAAGUCUGUCGUAGUCCGGAUUGGAGUCUGCAACUCGACUCCAUGAAGUCGGAAUCGCUAGUAAUCGUAGAUCAGAAUGCUACGGUGAAUACGUUCCCGGGCCUUGUACACACCGCCCGUCACACCAUGGGAGUGGGUUGCAAAAGAAGUAGGUAGCUUAACCUUCGGGAGGGCGCUACCAC
This 1160-nucleotide ribosomal RNA is filed under the name Proteus vulgaris. RNAcentral describes it as "bacterial SSU rRNA". It matches the Rfam family "Bacterial small subunit ribosomal RNA", at positions 302 to 1460 of the family's 1533-position model. The record is from RNAcentral. Lineage: Bacteria; Pseudomonadati; Pseudomonadota; Gammaproteobacteria; Enterobacterales; Morganellaceae.